CCUCAUCUGUGGCCUCUGUGUCUUCCUAGGAUCAGCAUUAACAAGGACACCAAGGACCCACAAGUGCUAUUUGCUGGCUACAAAGUCCCCCACCCCUUGGAGCACAAGAUCAUCAUCCGAGUGCAGACCACGCUGGACUACAGCCCCAGGAAGCCUUUACCAACGCCAUCACCGACCUCAUCAGUGAGCUGUCCCUGCUGGAGGAGCGCUUCCGGACGUGCCUGCUUCCCCUUCGCCUUCUGCCGUGAUUGUCAGUUUCCUGAGGCCUCCCCAGCCACGCUUCCUGUACAGCCUGCAGAACUGUGAGUCAAUUAAACCUCUUUUCUUCAUAAAUUACCCAGUUUCUCAUAGUUCUUUAUAGCAGUGUG
Molecule: long non-coding RNA, 368 nt
Filed under: Pan troglodytes (chimpanzee)
Lineage: Eukaryota; Metazoa; Chordata; Mammalia; Primates; Hominidae
Description: long non-coding RNA NONPTRT016137
Source: RNAcentral